GUGCACCAGGCGCGAAUUUUUCACAAUGGGGGAAACCCGUGAUGGAGCGACGCCGCGUGGAGGAUGAAGGCGUUUUCGUUCGUAAACUCCUGUCAAACGGGAACAAGAAAGUGAUAGUACCGUUAGAGGAAGAGACGGCUAACUCUGUGCCAGCAGCCGCGGUAAUACAGAGGUCUCAAGCGUUGUUCGGAUUCAUUGGGCGUAAAGGGUGCGUAGGUGGCUUGGUAAGUUGAAGGUGAAAUCUCGGGGCUUAACUCCGAAACUGCCUUCAAUACUGCUGAGCUCGAGGAUUGUAGAGGAGAAUGGAAUUCACGGUGUAGCAGUGAAAUGCGUAGAUAUCGUGAGGAAGACCAGUGGCGAAGGCGAUUCUCUGGGCAAUUCCUGACACUGAGGCACGAAGGCCAGGGGAGCAAACGGGAUUAGAUACCCGCGUAGU
RNAcentral lists this ribosomal RNA (436 nucleotides) under uncultured organism. RNAcentral's name for it is "bacterial SSU rRNA". It matches the Rfam family "Bacterial small subunit ribosomal RNA", at positions 346 to 794 of the family's 1533-position model. The record is from RNAcentral.